AACGAACGCUGGCGGCAUGCCUAACACAUGCAAGUCGAACGAGACCUUCGGGUCUAGUGGCGCACGGGUGCGUAACGCGUGGGAACCUGCCUUUAGGUUCGGAAUACUCAGAGAAAUUUGAGCUAAUACCGGAUGAUGUCUUCGGACCAAAGAUUUAUCGCCUUUAGAUGGGCCCGCGUUGGAUUAGCUAGUUGGUGGGGUAAAGGCCUACCAAGGCGACGAUCCAUAGCUGGUCUGAGAGGAUGAUCAGCCACACUGGGACUGAGACACGGCCCAGACUCCUACGGGAGGCAGCAGUGGGGAAUAUUGGACAAUGGGCGAAAGCCUGAUCCAGCAAUGCCGCGUGAGUGAUGAAGGCCUUAGGGUUGUAAAGCUCUUUUACCCGAGAUGAUAAUGACAGUAUCGGGAGAAUAAGCUCCGGCUAACUCCGUG
Molecule: ribosomal RNA, 432 nt
Filed under: uncultured bacterium
Lineage: Bacteria
Description: partial 16S ribosomal RNA
Rfam family: Bacterial small subunit ribosomal RNA
Source: RNAcentral